This 445-nucleotide ribosomal RNA is filed under the name uncultured bacterium. Its description in RNAcentral is "partial 16S ribosomal RNA". It matches the Rfam family "Bacterial small subunit ribosomal RNA", at positions 354 to 796 of the family's 1533-position model. The record is from RNAcentral.
GUGAGGAAUAUUGGUCAAUGGGCGGGAGCCUGAACCAGCCAAGUCGCGUGAAGGAAGAAGGAUCUAUGGUUCGUAAACUUCUUUUGCAGGGGAAUAAAGUGCAGGACGUGUCCUGUUUUGUAUGUACCCUGAGAAUAAGGAUCGACUAACUCCGUGCCAGCAGCCGCGGUAAUACGGAGGAUCCGAGCGUUAUCCGGAUUUAUUGGGUUUAAAGGGUGCGUAGGUGGUGUGAUAAGUCAGCGGUGAAAGGUUGCAGCUUAACUGUAAAAAUGCCGUUUGAACUGUCGGACUUGAGUGUAAAUGAGGUAGGCGGAAUGCGUGGUGUAGCGGUGAAAUGCAUAGAUAUCACGCAGAACUCCGAUUGCGAAGGCAGCUUACUAAGCUACAACUGACACUGAAGCACGAAAGCGUGGGGAUCAAACAGGAUUAGAUACCCUGGUAGUCC